GGAACGAGUGUUCGGAUCUUUGAGCAACGACCUUACCUCUCUGGACGAUUUUAGUAAGAUCGUCCCUAUCUUGCAUUGUAUGGACGAUUACCAUUUUGGUCGGGCUUAUCAGCUGCCCCCCUAUUCCAUGGUCGUCCAUUAUUUGGACGAUUAUAGGAAUAUGAAAAGAUUGUUAUUUAUUUUUCAGAAAUGGCGCUUCGAGUUCUGCUCCGCAUUGAUUGCGUAGUGGCGGCUGUGGCUCCUCUCAGUGCCACGUGUCAGAUUUCUACUGGUGGGAGUGCCUCGUUUCCGGUGAGUGCCUUUUCAGUUUUCCCGCACUUUCCAAGGCAGAAACCUUUGAUUUCUUUUGGCUUUUCCUUUUUGCAUUUCCUCAUUGCAAUUGAUCUCCCUUACGCAUAUUUUGCUCCUCACCUCCUCAGUUUCCUCCCUAACUUCCAGUGAAAGACCGUCCGGAGCUAGAGGCCAAGUUUGCAAAGCGAGUGCAGGCUGCUCUUGAAUACGCAAGGACGAUAGAAGAUUUUGGUGAGCUGAUUGAUCCGCGAACCUUGGCUCGUCACUGCCUGGGACCAGAACCUUCACUUUACGUUCUCAGUACCCUUGACCGUGAAGAGAGAAAACAAAUGACUUCGAAAUUCAACAAGGAGAUGUAUGAUAAAAUUAAGGGCAAAAAGAAUGAGCCCCUGUCCAGCAUAGGCCAGAAGAGGCUGAGAAUCACAGAUAAGGAGAAGGAGAAAGAGGUGGAGGCGAGAGGGUCGUCCACACCAACCCUUGGUCUGGACGAAGGUCUGGUUGCAUCUCCUGGUGUUUCAAUCGAGGAGGUUGCUCGUCCUUCGAAGAAGCAGAAAGCUGCUAGCAAGGGGAAAGGAAGAGCUGAUGCCAGCGUUUGGUCAGAUGCAGGGACGACCAUGGACCGUGCUACCGAGCUCUUUACUCCUGCUGAGAU
Quercus robur (English oak) is the source of this 943-nucleotide long non-coding RNA. RefSeq lists it as uncharacterized. The transcript is spliced from 3 exons. Lineage: Eukaryota; Viridiplantae; Streptophyta; Magnoliopsida; Fagales; Fagaceae. The record is from RefSeq and is a predicted model, not a curated record.